RNAcentral lists this long non-coding RNA (944 nucleotides) under Nicotiana tabacum (common tobacco). Its description in RNAcentral is "long non-coding RNA (NTAB_LNC005190)". The record is from RNAcentral. Lineage: Eukaryota; Viridiplantae; Streptophyta; Magnoliopsida; Solanales; Solanaceae.
CAAUUCAGUUUAGGGUUUAAAACCCUAAUGCUGAUUAAAGGGAAAAGGUCAGUUUAGGGUUUAAAACCCUAAUGCUGACUGCUUGGGAAAGCUCAGUUUAGGGUUUAAAACUCUAAUGCUGGCUGAAAGGAAAAAAGUUCAGUUUAGGGUUUAAAACCCUAAUGCUGACUAAAGGAAAAAUUCAGUUCAGGGUUUAAAACCCUAAUGCUGACUGCAUGGAAAAGCUCAGUUUAGGGUUUAAAACCCUAAUGCUGGCUGAAAGGAAAGAGUUCAGUUUAGGGUUUAAAACCCUAAUGCUGGCUGAAUGGAAAAAGUUUAGUUUAGGGUUUAAAACCCUAAUGCUGACUGCAUGGAAAAGCUCGGUUUAGGGUUUAAAACCCUAAUGCUGGCUGAAAGGAAAAAUUCAGUUUAGGGUUUAAAACCUUAAUGCUGACUAAAGGAAAAAUUCAGUUUAGGGUUUAAAACCCUAAUGCUGAUUAAAAGGAAAAAGCUCAGUUUAGGGUUUAAAACCCUAAUGCUGGCUGAAUGGAAAAAGUUCAGUUUAGGGUUUAAAACCCUAAUGCUGACUAGAAGGGAAAAUUCAGUUUAGGGUUUAAAACCCUAAUGCUGAUUAAAGGAAAAAGCUCAGUUUAGGGUUUAAAACCCUAAUGCUGGCUGAAUGGAAAAAGUUCAGUUUAGGGUUUAAAACCCUAAUGCUGGCUGAAUGGAAAAAGUUCAGUUUAGGGUUUAAAACCCUAAUGCUGAUUAAAGGAAAAAACUCAGUUUAUGGUUUAAAACCCUAAUUCUGAUUAAAGGAAAAAGCUCAGUUUAGGGUUUAAAACCCUAAUGCUGGUUGAAUGGAAAAAGCUCAGUUUAGGGUUUAAAACCCUAAUGCUGGCUGAAUGGAAAAAGUUCAGUAUAAGGUUUAAAACCCUAAUGCUGACUAAAGGAAAAAUUCAGUUUAG